RNAcentral lists this small nucleolar RNA (147 nucleotides) under Macleaya cordata. RNAcentral's name for it is "Small nucleolar RNA snoR136". It matches the Rfam family "Small nucleolar RNA snoR136". Lineage: Eukaryota; Viridiplantae; Streptophyta; Magnoliopsida; Ranunculales; Papaveraceae. The record is from Rfam by way of RNAcentral.
UAAGCUUCACUCUCUUGUAUACAUUCACGGAAUGCUUCUAGGUUAAUCUCAUUCUAGUGGCAUUUUUUUAGGUGAAGCAAUAAAAUUGUUGCCCUCGCUAUCCAGUGCUUCCUUCAUGUUGCAUUUGGACGUUGGGUAACAACAUCU